Molecule: unclassified non-coding RNA, 1710 nt
Filed under: Hevea brasiliensis (rubber tree)
Lineage: Eukaryota; Viridiplantae; Streptophyta; Magnoliopsida; Malpighiales; Euphorbiaceae
Source: RNAcentral
GGUUUAUCGUUUAUUUGAGUAUUGAAAUUUAAAUAAAAGGAAUAAAAAUAUUUUUCAAUUUUUAAAAAUUUCAUUACAUUUGAUAAAUUUGAUCAAAUUUUUUUCAUCAUUUAUCAUAAUAAAAAAUGUUAAAACUUAUAUUUGCUAGUAUUUGAUUAAUUUUCAUUUUCUGUGUAAGAGUUAUCAAAGAAAAAAGAGUAACCAUUAAACUGAAUUGCUAGAACUGGUUUUAAUGGUUCAGCUUAUAAUUUUUUCUGUUAAAGCCAGUUGGGUCAAAAUUUUUGACCAAGGGUCAGUUGCUUGAAUUGUGAAUCCAAGUGGCCUUAAGGUUUUGGAUUGGAUGCUUGAAUAUGAUACUAGAAUCAUCCAUUACAGUAUUGUGGUGUUGUUCAGCCUGUGGUUGUGUUGUUUUUCUGGAAGAUUAGAAAAAUGAUUUACCAGUCAAUAUUAUAGAGCCUGAUAUAGGUAAAUUCAUGAAUUCUAUUUGAUUCUGAUAGAGGAGAGAGCUUAAACAAUAAUAGAAAUAUGAGAUGGAAAAGACGGGAAGGCAAUUUCAUUAAUGAAAUAAGGAAAUACAAUAACAAUUCCUGCAACACAUGUAACAGCACCAUUCUGUUAUCCAGCUCAGCUGCCUCAUUCCUUCCAGAAUUCUCCCUUGGCCCAUCUUUUGCCAUUGCUCUUAGCUUUCUUCUUGUAUACAUCUCUAAGCUUCCCAGGCCCCUUUGAUCCAUAGCCCAACUGCCUUGCACCUGCCAUGGCAGAUUCUUUUUAGUCUUAACUUCUUAAUGUGCAUGUGAACCAUGAAUUUGUUUUGACAUAACUGUUAGAGGAACAUACAAUCUCCUUUCUAGUUACUUGUUGAUCUUUAAACACAUUUCUCUCAUUUUAUCUGAUUUUGAAGAGGUGUGAUGAUUUGAUACUCUAAUAAGGCAUGAACCUUUACAAAAUUGUGUAACAUUUUCGCUUACAUGCCUCAAAACCGAAAUAGAAACCUGAAAAUUUUUCCUUCCCAAAAUGGUGCAGUUCAAACACUGCAGCAGUAUAAUGUCUUUAACAACCUGGUUCUUCAACAAUUAAAGUAAGUAGGUGCUUUGUUUUUGGAUUUUAUGUUCAUUAUGACAUAGGACAAGAUUGGAAAGUCUAUCAUAAUUCUUCCUUUAAGCUUGACUAGGGCUUGAUAAUCUAGGAUUUUAGGACUGGAAAUUGAGAAGGCCAAAAGGGUUCAGGGCUUAUAAAUCUAUUUUUGCUUGAAUUGGUUUAUGAUUCAAGAAUUCAAAGGGCUGGUAUUGUUGAAGAACAAGUUGCGGAAUUUUUCUGAGUAGCAAAAAAGAGGGGACUUUAUUGUUUUAUUUGUUGGCUUUACCAGGGAGAUGGAAAGUUAUGUGAAAAUUUUUUUUAAUGGUCGUACAAAUCAUUUAUAUAAAUUCUGGCACUAUUAUUCAAUUCUCAACUCAUUGGCAGUUAUGCCACAUCCCUUCCCCAACAUACAAACACACAGUCCUACCUGUGGUUUCUUUUGCUUAUCAUCCUUUUCUUUAUAAAUGCUCAUUUUUGGUUGAUGCCAAAAGCGUAGAAGGUUUAAUGAAGACGUGGAAUAAAUGUGCUCAUUCAUAGACUCUUAGGCGACUGCCUUACUAGCAGUGGUGUAUUGAAGAAAUUCACUUUUUUCUUAUUACUUGCCUCACCAGGUGUCUGGGCAUUUUACUUAUG